CAGCGACUCCUGUUCCGCGCGCGGUGAAGAGGGACAGGAGGCCAGGCGCCGGACGUCCUCCGAGCAGCCGGUGCCUGGAGCUGUGCCUGUGACCCCGUGCAAAGUCGCGCCCCAGGCCGGGCGCCUGCGGUCCCCUCCGCGGGCCAGCG
Molecule: long non-coding RNA, 149 nt
Filed under: Ictidomys tridecemlineatus (thirteen-lined ground squirrel)
Lineage: Eukaryota; Metazoa; Chordata; Mammalia; Rodentia; Sciuridae
Description: lncRNA (ENSSTOG00000034899.1)
Source: RNAcentral